CAGUCGCCGCGGUAAUACAGAGGGUGCGAGCGUUAAUCGGAUUUACUGGGCGUAAAGCGUGCGUAGGCGGCUUUUUAAGUCGGAUGUGAAAUCCCUGAGCUUAACUUAGGAAUUGCAUUCGAUACUGGGAAGCUAGAGUAUGGGAGAGGAUGGUAGAAUUCCAGGUGUAGCGGUGAAAUGCGUAGAGAUCUGGAGGAAUACCGAUGGCGAAGGCAGCCAUCUGGCCUAAUACUGACGCUGAGGUACGAAAGCAUGGGGAGCAAACAGGAUUAGAUACCCCCGUAGUCCCUGUCUCUUAUAA
Molecule: ribosomal RNA, 301 nt
Filed under: uncultured bacterium
Lineage: Bacteria
Description: partial 16S ribosomal RNA
Rfam family: Bacterial small subunit ribosomal RNA
Source: RNAcentral